This 466-nucleotide ribosomal RNA is filed under the name uncultured bacterium. RNAcentral's name for it is "partial 16S ribosomal RNA". It matches the Rfam family "Bacterial small subunit ribosomal RNA", at positions 28 to 507 of the family's 1533-position model. The record is from RNAcentral.
GACGAACGCUGGCGGCGCGCCUAACACAUGCAAGUCGAACGAGCGAGAGAGAGCUUGCUUUCUUGAGCGAGUGGCGAACGGGUGAGUAACGCGUGAGGAACCUGCCUCAAAGAGGGGGACAACAGUUGGAAACGACUGCUAAUACCGCAUAAGCCCACGACCCGGCAUCGGGUCGAGGGAAAAGGAGCAAUCCGCUUUGAGAUGGCCUCGCGUCCGAUUAGCUAGUUGGUGAGGUAACGGCCCACCAAGGCGACGAUCGGUAGCCGGACUGGGAGGUUGAACGGCCACAUUGGGACUGAGACACGGCCCAGACUCCUACGGGAGGCAGCAGUGGGGAAUAUUGCACAAUGGGGGAAACCCUGAUGCAGCGACGCCGCGUGGAGGAAGAAGGUCUGCGGAUUGUAAACUCCUGUUGUUGAGGAAGAUAAUGACGGUACUCAACAAGGAAGUGACGGCUAACUACGUG